UGCAAGUCGAACGGUAACAGCGGGUGCUUGCACCCGGCUGACGAGUGGCGGACGGGUGAGUAACGCGUAGGAAUCUACCCAGUAGAGGGGGAUAGCCCGGGGAAACCUGGAUUAAUACCGCAUACAUCCUCAGGGAAAAAGGUGGCCAAUUCUUGAAAGCUGCCGCUAUUGGAUGAGCCUGCGCCAGAUUAGCUUGUUGGUGGAGUAAUAGCCCACCAAGGCGACGAUCUGUAGCUGGUCUGAGAGGACGAUCAGCCACAUUGGGACUGAGACACGGCCCAAACUCCUACGGGAGGCAGCAGUGGGGAAUAUUGCGCAAUGGGCGAAAGCCUGACGCAGCUAUGCCGCGUGUGUGAAGAAGGCUCUAGGGUUGUAAAGCACUUUCAGAAGUGAGGAAAGGUAUUCGGUUAAUAGCCGGGUACUUUGACGUUAGCUUCAGAAGAAGCACCGGCUAACUCCGUGCCAGCAGCCGCGGUAAUACGGAGGGUGCAAACGUUAAUCGGAAUUACUGGGCGUAAAGCGUGCGUAGGUGGCUUGGUAAGUCGGAUGUGAAAGCCCCGAGCUCAACUUGGGAAUUGCAUUCGAUACUGCUAGGCUAGAGUAUGGUAGAGGGAAGUGGAAUUUCCGGUGUAGCGGUGAAAUGCGUAGAGAUCGGAAGGAACACUAGUGGCGAAGGCGGCUUCCUGGACCAAUACUGACACUGAGGAGCGAAAGCGUGGGGAGCAAACAGGCUUAGAUACCCUGGUAGUCCACGCCGUAAACGAUGAGAACUAGCCGUUAGGAGCCCUUGAGACAUCUAGUGGCGCAGCUAACGCGAUAAGUUCUCCGCCUGGGAAGUACGGCCGCAAGGCUAAAACUCAAAUGAAUUGACGGGGGCCCGCACAAGCGGUGGAGCAUGUUGUUUAAUUCGAUGCAACGCGAAGAACCUUACCACCCCUUGACAUCCCUGGGAUUGCACAGAAAUGAGCAAGUACCUUCGGGAACUAGGUGACAGGUGCUGCAUGGCUGUCGUCAGCUCGUGUCGUGAGAUGUUGGGUUAAGUCCCGUAACGAGCGCAACCCUUGUCCUUAAUUACCAGCGGGUUAUGCCGGGAACUUUAAGGAGACCGCCAGUGAUAAACUGGAGGAAGGCGGGGACGAUGUCAAGUCAUCAUGGCCCUUACGGGGUGGGCUACAAACGUGCUACAAUGGGGAAUACAGAGGGCAGCGAGCUGGCGACAGUUAGCCAAUCCUUUAAAAUUUCUCGUAGUCCGGAUCGCAGUCUGCAACUCGACUGCGUGAAGUUGGAAUCGCUAGUAAUCGCGAAUCAGAAUGUCGCGGUGAAUACGUUCCCGGGCCUUGUACACACCGCCCGUCACGUCAUGGAAGUGGGUUGCACCAGAAGUGGUUAGCCUAAC
Molecule: ribosomal RNA, 1396 nt
Filed under: uncultured bacterium
Lineage: Bacteria
Description: 16S ribosomal RNA
Rfam family: Bacterial small subunit ribosomal RNA
Source: RNAcentral